This 408-nucleotide ribosomal RNA is filed under the name Fusobacteriota bacterium. Its description in RNAcentral is "Fusobacteria bacterium partial 16S ribosomal RNA". It matches the Rfam family "Bacterial small subunit ribosomal RNA", at positions 355 to 776 of the family's 1533-position model. The record is from RNAcentral. Lineage: Bacteria; Fusobacteriati; Fusobacteriota.
UGGGGAAUAUUGCACAAUGGACGGAAGUCUGAUGCAGCAACGCCGCGUGCGGGAUGACGGCCUUCGGGUUGUAAACCGCUUUUUCUCAUGACGAAGUUUUUUGACGGUAGUGGGGGAAGAAGCACCGGCUAACUACGUGCCAGCAGCCGCGGUGAUACGUAGGGUGCGAGCGUUGUCCGGAAUUAUUGGGCGUAAAGAGCUUGUAGGCGGUUUGUCGCGUCGAUAGUGCAAACUCAGUGCUUAACGCUGAGCCUGCUGUUGAUACGGGCAGACUAGAGGAAGGUAGGGGAGAAUGGAAUUCCCGGUGGAGCGGUGGAAUGCGCAGAUAUCGGGAGGAACACCGGUGGCGAAGGCGGUUCUCUGGGCCUUUCCUGACGCUGAGAAGCGAAAGCGUGGGGAGCAAACAGG